AUUGAACGCUGGCGGCAUGCCUUACACAUGCAAGUCGAACGGUAACGCGGGGCAACCUGGCGACGAGUGGCGAACGGGUGAGUAAUAUAUCGGAACGUGCCCAGUAGUGGGGGAUAGCCCGGCGAAAGCCGGAUUAAUACCGCAUACGACCUACGGGUGAAAGCGGGGGAUCGCAAGACCUCGCGCUAUUGGAGCGGCCGAUGUCGGAUUAGCUAGUUGGUGGGGUAAAGGCCUACCAAGGCAACGAUCCGUAGCUGGUCUGAGAGGACGACCAGCCACACUGGGACUGAGACACGGCCCCAGACUCCUACGGGAGGCAGCAGUGGGGAAUUUUGGACAAUGGGCGCAAGCCUGAUCCAGCCAUGCCGCGUGCGGGAAGAAGGCCUCGGGUUGUAAACCGCUUUUGUCAGGGAAGAAACGGUCUGAGCUAAUACCUCGGACUAAUGACGGUACCUGAAGAAUAAGCACCGGCUAACUACGUGCCAGCAGCCGCGGUAAUNCGUAGGGUGCAAGCGUUAAUCGGAAUACUGGGCGUAAAGCGUGCGCAGGCGGGCUUUUGCAAGACAGAUGUGAAAAUUCCCCCGGGGCUCAACCUGGGAACUGCAUUUGUGACUGCAUCGCUCGAGUGCGGCAGAGGGGGAUGGAGUUCCGCGUGUAGCAGUGAAAUGCGUAGAUAUGCGGAGGAACACCAAUGGCGAAGGCAAUCCCCCUGGGCCUGCACUGACGCUCAUGCACGAAAGCGU
Molecule: ribosomal RNA, 743 nt
Filed under: uncultured bacterium
Lineage: Bacteria
Description: bacterial SSU rRNA
Rfam family: Bacterial small subunit ribosomal RNA
Source: RNAcentral